Molecule: ribosomal RNA, 360 nt
Filed under: uncultured bacterium
Lineage: Bacteria
Description: partial 16S ribosomal RNA
Rfam family: Bacterial small subunit ribosomal RNA
Source: RNAcentral
CCUACGGGUGGCAGCAGUGAGGAAUAUUGGUCAAUGGACGCAAGUCUGAACCAGCCAUGCCGCGUGCAGGAAGACGGCUCUAUGAGUUGUAAACUGCUUUUGUACGAGGGUAAACGCAGAUACGCGUAUCUGUCUGAAAGUAUCGGUCGAAUAAGGAUCGGCGAACUCCGUGCCAGCAGCCGCGGGAAUACGGAGGAUUCAAGCGUGAACCGGAUUUAUUGGGUUUAAAGGGGGCGUAGGCGGGUGGAUAAGUUAGAGGUGAAAUCCCGAGGCUCAACGUCGGAAUUGCCUCUGAUACUGUUCGGCUAGAGAGUAGUUGCGGUAGGCGGAAUGUAUGGUGUAGCGGUGAAAUGCUUAGAG